UUUCCGUAGGUGAACCUUCGGAAGGAUCAUUA
Molecule: ribosomal RNA, 32 nt
Filed under: Wickerhamiella pararugosa
Lineage: Eukaryota; Fungi; Ascomycota; Dipodascomycetes; Dipodascales; Trichomonascaceae
Also listed under: 1 other name
Description: partial 18S ribosomal RNA
Source: RNAcentral